GUUGACAGUUCAAGAUUCAAUCCUUUAUUUGUCUGUGCUCGAUAGGUAAGUAUGAGAUUAAGUAUUUGUUGACUUCGGAUCCACUGUAAAUGAAGUAUGGAAUCCCAUCCCCGUUAGAAAGAAUGAUUCCUGGUUAUUAUGGUUAUUAUGGAGUCCUGUUUUGGGGGUCGGCUAAAAGAGUGACUGUUGCUGUUGCGCUAACGGGAGCCCAAUAACCUUUUGAAUUCCAUUAUGACUUGAUACUUUCGAGAUCGUAUAGAAGCAGGGGUAGGUCAUAUUACUUACUUAGAUACUCGGCACAAAUAGAUAGAAAUGAGAAUCCGGCAGUUCGAGGAAAG
RNAcentral lists this long non-coding RNA (338 nucleotides) under Musa acuminata (dwarf banana). RNAcentral's name for it is "long non-coding RNA (MACU_LNC010946)". The record is from RNAcentral. Lineage: Eukaryota; Viridiplantae; Streptophyta; Magnoliopsida; Zingiberales; Musaceae.